CCUACGGGUGGCAGCAGUGGGGAAUAUUGCACAAUGGGGGAAACCCUGAUGCAGCGACGCCGCGUGAGUGAAGAAGUAAUUCGUUAUGUAAAGCUCUAUCAGCAGGGAAGAAAAUGACGGUACGUGAGUAAGAAGCCCCGGCUAACUACGUGCCAGCAGCCGCGGUAAUACGUAGGGGGAAAGCGUUAUCCGGAUUUACUGGGUGUAAAGGGAGCGUAGACGGCAGUGCAAGUCUGGAGUGAAAGGCGGGGGCUCAACCCGCGGACUGCUCUGGAAACUGUACGGCUUGAGUGCAGGAGAGGGAAGUGGAAUUCCUAGUGUAGCGGUGAAAUGCGUAGAUAUUAGGAGGAACACCAGUGGCGAAGGCGGCUUUCUGGACUGUAACUGACGUUGAGGCUCGAAAGCGUGGGGAGCAAACAGGAUUAGAUACCCUUGUAGUC
RNAcentral lists this ribosomal RNA (440 nucleotides) under uncultured bacterium. RNAcentral describes it as "partial 16S ribosomal RNA". It matches the Rfam family "Bacterial small subunit ribosomal RNA", at positions 338 to 795 of the family's 1533-position model. The record is from RNAcentral.